UGAGAGUUUGAUCCUGGCUCAGGAUGAACGCUGGCGGCGUGUCUAAGGCAUGCAAGUCGAACGCUCCCCGCAGCAAUGCGGGGGGAGUGGCAAACGGGAGAGUAACACAUUGAUAACUUACCCCGAGGUCGUGAAUAAUCCUGCGAAAGCGGGCCUAAUACACGAUGAAAGUGGGGGGCCAAAAGGCAUUCCCACUUAAA
Molecule: ribosomal RNA, 200 nt
Filed under: Candidatus Methanoperedens sp.
Lineage: Archaea; Methanobacteriati; Methanobacteriota; Methanomicrobia; Methanosarcinales; Candidatus Methanoperedentaceae
Description: partial 16S ribosomal RNA
Rfam family: Bacterial small subunit ribosomal RNA
Source: RNAcentral